Molecule: non-coding RNA, 144 nt
Organism: Callithrix jacchus (white-tufted-ear marmoset)
Lineage: Eukaryota; Metazoa; Chordata; Mammalia; Primates; Cebidae
Source: Rfam
UUCUUUGUUAAUUUGCAGCUGCUUUUAUCAUAUUUCAGCCCAUUAUCCAACAAACACUAUGAAAUGUUUUAACAAUUGGAUUACAAACAUUUGCAUUUUGUGGAGUGGUGCUCACCAAGUGGUACAGCUCUAAGCAAGUGAACA